Molecule: ribosomal RNA, 301 nt
Filed under: uncultured bacterium
Lineage: Bacteria
Description: partial 16S ribosomal RNA
Rfam family: Bacterial small subunit ribosomal RNA
Source: RNAcentral
CAGUCGCCGCGGUAAAACGGAGGGUGCAAGCGUUAAUCGGAAUUACUGGGCGUAAAGCGUGCGUAGGCGGUUCGUUAAGUCUGUUGUGAAAGCCCCGGGCUCAACCUGGGAAUGGCAAUGGAUACUGGCGAGCUAGAGUGUGUCAGAGGAUGGUGGAAUUCCCGGUGUAGCGGUGCAAUGCGUAGAGAUCGGGAGGAACAUCAGUGGCGAAGGCGGCCAUCUGGGACAACACUGACGCUGAGGCACGAAAGCGUGGGGAGCAAACAGGAUUAGAUACCCCGGUAGUCCCUGUCUCUUAUAC